ACUCAAAUGAAUUGACGGGGACCCGCACAAGCGGUGGAGCAUGUGGUUUAAUUCGACGAUACACGAAGAACCUUACCUGGACUUGACAUAGUAAGAACUUUCUAGAGAUAGAUUGGUGUCUGCUUGCAGAAACUUAUAUACAGGUGCUGCACGGCUGUCGUCAGCUCGUGUCGUGAGAUGUUGGGUUAAGUCCCGCAACGAGCGCAACCCUCGUGUUUAGUUGCUAACAGUUCGGCUGAGAACUCUAAACAGACUGCCUACGCAAGUAGGAGGAAGGUGAGGACGACGUCAAGUCAUCAUGGCCCUUACGUCCAGGGCUACACACGUGCUACAAUGGGAUAUACAAAGAGCGGCAAUACGGUGACGUGGAGCAAAUCUUAUAAAAUAUCUCCCAGUUCGGAUUGUAGUCUGCAACUCGACUACAUGAAGUUGGAAUCGCUAGUAAUCGUAGAUCAGCUAUGCUACGGUGAAUACGUUCCCGGGUCUUGUACACACCGCCCGU
This 502-nucleotide ribosomal RNA is filed under the name uncultured bacterium. Its description in RNAcentral is "bacterial SSU rRNA". It matches the Rfam family "Bacterial small subunit ribosomal RNA", at positions 899 to 1397 of the family's 1533-position model. The record is from RNAcentral.